Molecule: ribosomal RNA, 261 nt
Filed under: uncultured bacterium
Lineage: Bacteria
Description: partial 16S ribosomal RNA
Rfam family: Bacterial small subunit ribosomal RNA
Source: RNAcentral
GAGUGCGAUAGGGGCAAGGGGAAUUCCCAGUGUAGCGGUGAAAUGCGUAGAUAUUGGGAAGAACACCGGUGGCGAAAGCGCCUUGCUGGGUCUGCACUGACACUGAGGGACGAAAGCUAGGGGAGCGAAAGGGAUUAGAUACCCCUGUAGUCCUCGCCGUAAACGAUGGAUACUAGGCGUUGUCCGUAUCGACCCGGACAGUGUCGUAGCUAACGCGUUAAGUAUCCCGCCUGGGGAGUACGCUCGCAAGAGUGAAACUCA